RNAcentral lists this ribosomal RNA (253 nucleotides) under uncultured bacterium. RNAcentral's name for it is "partial 16S ribosomal RNA". It matches the Rfam family "Bacterial small subunit ribosomal RNA", at positions 524 to 776 of the family's 1533-position model. The record is from RNAcentral.
UACGGGGGGGGCAAGCGUUGUUCGGAAUUAUUGGGCGUAAAGAGCUCGUAGGCGGUUUGUCGCGUCGAAUGUGAAAACCCGGGGCUCAACCCCGGGCCUGCAUUCGAUACGGGCAGACUAGAGUUCGGUAGGGGAGUCUGGAAUUCCUGGUGUAGCGGUGAAAUGCGCAGAUAUCAGGAGGAACACCGGUGGCGAAGGCGGGUCUCUGGGCCGGAACUGACGCUAAGGAGCGAAAGCGUGGGGAGCGAACAGG